CCUCACCUUGAUGUGGAAGCGGAUGAGAGCCAGGCGGAUGCAGUGCGCCAUGCAGACGGGCGGCAGGAACCAGACCUUGGGCGGCGGGGUGCCCUUGUUCUGGACGUGACUGACGAUCUGCUGCGCCGUCUGGCGCUCGUUGCCCUGGCGCUUCACCCACUCGUGCAGCCGGGCCUUCUCCAGGGCGCCGUUGAAGAAGACGAAGAGCUCGAUGUUGCCGUUGAAGCAGGCCUUGGCCAGCGCCGCCAGGUAGCCCAGCAUGUGGUUCCACUGCCCGCCGCUCACCCAGUCCGUGUAGAAGCCGCCGUAGAGCCGGUGCAGGCAGUUGUCGGCGUCGAUGAGGAGGCGCAGCGGGGUCUGGGGGGGCCGCUGGCGGCCCCCACCCACGAGGCUGCCCCGCGCCAGCUUCUGCAGCUCGACGGGCACGACGGCGCUGGGGCAGUGCUUCUCGAUGUAGUCCUGGAAACCCUGCACUCCCAUGCAAAUGCUCCCCUGGGUUGCCAGUGCAUUCUGACUGAUCUCCCAGUGUGCACAGAUUAGCAGACCUGAGCUGAGGCCAGCUAUGUGCCGUCUUUGAGAGAGAAAUCAACCAUCAAACCCCACAGCCCUGCAUGGCUGAGUUGUGGAACAGAAAACUGCUGCAAAACCACUGUGUAAGAGGGAGAAUGACAGAACCAGCCCAUUUCAGUGUGCUUCACACAGAUGAAAAAUGUCUUCUGAUUAA
This is a long non-coding RNA of Melopsittacus undulatus (budgerigar), 724 nucleotides long. RefSeq lists it as uncharacterized. The record is from RefSeq and is a predicted model, not a curated record. Lineage: Eukaryota; Metazoa; Chordata; Aves; Psittaciformes; Psittaculidae. The transcript has 3 exons.